Arachis duranensis is the source of this 1628-nucleotide RNA transcript. RefSeq lists it as uncharacterized. The record is from RefSeq and is a predicted model, not a curated record. The transcript is spliced from 5 exons. NCBI's taxonomy places the organism in Eukaryota, Viridiplantae, Streptophyta, Magnoliopsida, Fabales, Fabaceae.
UCUGCCCUCUCUCUCGACAACUGUUGCUUUCCACACUCUGCUUCCGCCCCUCCUUUCCCUCCGCUCCAUCAUCUUCAGAGUGUGGUCCUCUAUUAACUAAAGUUUUCUCAAACCCUAACUAACCCCCUUCCUACGCUUCUCAUUAGCAUUUGUGAACCGAACCGAACCAAUGGCACAGGAGCCUUCUUCCCCUGGUGGUUCUUUGGGAGUCAAAUCGGUCGACGAAGUUCAAGCUAUGAUUCAAAAGAGUCUUCAACUUCCAAAGGUGAAGUUCUUGAGGCAACGCAUGGCAGAAGCUGGCUGUGCUGUGAAGGACAAUUUCUUCAGAGCUGUUGUUUGCCAAGGGAGGAAAGGCAUGGCUUAUUUUGCUCCUGCUCACGGGAUAUUUGUGUGCAGCAACCAUGUGACAUUUCAAGAUGAGGUCAACCAGUUGAUAAUUCAUGAGCUAAUUCAUGCAUAUGAUGACUGUCGUGCUGUCAAUUUACAUUGGAAUAAUUGUGCUCACCAAGCUUGUAGUGAGAUACGAGCUGGUCAUUUAAGCGGUGAUUGUCAUUUCAUGCGGGAACUACUUCGUGGUCAUUUCAAAUUGCGAGGGCAUGAACCGGUACACUUUUACUUUUUUUCCUCUGUUAAUACCUAACCUUUAUUUUUUCUUCCAAUUAAAUCUUCCAAUAGAUUUACAUUCCACAUCUUAUCAUGAUUGUUUUAAAUCUGAAUUCAUUACAUGUUGAUUGAGGAGAAAGUAUCUGAUUUCUGUAAAGUCUUCCAUGAAGCAUUAAUCUCAAAAUUUUAUAAAGUGCACUUGGUGCUGGAGGGGAUUAGGAAUGCAAAAUAAAUCACUCGAUGUUGCACCUAAAUCUUUUGAAACAUAUCAAAACAUAAAAAUGAGGGUUCCUUUGUUAUUAUUAUGAUUAUUGGAUGCCAAAGAAUAUUCUUGCUACAGUUUACGCCAUCUUCUUUAGUCACCCAUGUAAGCUAUAAUGGAUUAUUGUUACAUGGGUCCAUUAACCAGUAACCAACUAUUGAUCUGAUAACUUGUCAUGUGAUAAAUACAUGAGAUAUGAUCUGAUCAAUACAAGUACAAGUUUCAGCCAAGUAAGUAAGUAGCUAGCUUUAAAAUGAUAGGCCAAGUUAAGUUGCCAGAUCAAUGAUCAAUGAUCAAAGACUUCCACCAACUUUUAAGGAUGGUAUAAAAAAAUUGUUUGUGAUCAAUGCCAGUGUCAUUUCCAUGAUCAAACUUAUCAUCCAUGUUAGCUGUUCCAAAUUCCAAUGCAAAAUAAUUUGCAACUUAUGCGUAGUUGUAAUUUACUAUCUAGUCUGUCUUCACUAAGGUGAUUCAUCUUCUGUUGAAUAUUUAUUUGUUGGUUGUUAAAUUAGUAGACGGGGUCGAAAAAUGCAAGGCAUAGGGAGUUAAUUACCAAGAGGGAUAAUUUGAAUUCGAAUGGAUAUAUUGCUCCUAACAGACCUAACUACAUGUAUUGCUGGUUCUCCUUUGACUUAGAUGAACCAAAGGAGUGUAUUAGAAGAAGAGUCUUGUUAUCUUUGUUUUCAAACCCCAAUUGUGUUGGUUCAGCUGCCAAGGAUUCAAUGGAAGAUGUAUGGGAUAUUUGUUACAAUGACACACAGCC